UUUCUCUGUGUACUCUCUUCUAGAACUUUGUAGACCAGGCUGGCCUCAAACUCACAGAGAUCCACCUGCCUCUGCCUCCCUAGUGCUGGGAUUAAAGGCUUUCACCACCACCGCCCGGCAACCCUUUAAUACCUCUUACAUUAGCCUUACUUUGUGCAGAUGGUGUUACAUGUAGCCAAUCUAGGGAUUGGCUUCUCGUGGAAGAGGCAGGCUCACCCUAAACUCCUGAUCCCCUCCACCCCUUUUUUCCCUGUCUAGUUCUCUUACUUCAGCACUCAGGACCAAACCCAGAGCCUUGUGUUGGUUUUGCUGUGAUCUGCUACUGAGCUAAAGCCCCACACCCUUGUUUCUCUUAGUAGGUGUUAUCUAUACUCUUGGGCAGAGGCUGGGCAGAUGGAAGAACCCAACAGCACUCUAGGAAACAGAAGCCCAAGAAGAACACAGUCCUUUAAUGUCACCCACUCAAAAGACAGCAUGCCAGCUGUCUAUACUCUUGGAUCUGGUUUGGUGGCACACACCUUCAACCCCAGUACUCUGGAGGCAGGGAGAAGAGGCAAUCUGUGAAUUUGAGGGCAACCUGGUUGUGUAGUGAGUUCCAGGCCAGCCAGGGUAGGAAUACACAAUGAGAAGAUGUCUCUAAAGAAAAAUAAAAGGUUGCUGGGCAGUGGUGGUGCACACCUUUAGUCCCAGCACUUGGGAAACAGAGGCAAGUCUGUGAGUUUGAGGCCAGCCUGGUCUACACAGUGAGUUCCAGGACUGUUACACAGAGAAACCCUGUUUCCAAAAACAAACAAAAAAGAAGCAAAGCCCCUAUUAUGCCUGAAGCCACUUCAGGAAGGUGAAGAUUCAUUUUUAUCUACCACCCCAGGCCCUGCCAAAUGAAUAUGUAUCUCUGAGACGUGGUCAAAGAACAAAAAGUAAUAUGUAGAGAUCAGAGUGUUAGAUCUUAUUAAGCUCACUUAUGGGAGAAUGUGUGGGGUCUUGACCUCUCAAAGCCAUGACUUGUAAUUAAAAAUAGACGGAACUUUAUGAUUUAGAGGUUGAAAAGAGAACUGCUUGGCAGACGAAGGAAAGGUAGCAUAGGGCAGUGGUCACAGUAGCACAGCCAACAAACAAGGAAAGCGUGAUUAAUCGAUGAGUAAGAAUAGCAAGUUUUACAGAGAUUUAACAAAUGUCAAGGAAAUAGGAUUUCUGAAUGAAGGGUUUUAUAGACACCAACAGCCCGUGCAACCCUGGAGAUAGCAUGUGGGGGUGACUUGCACAUGACUCAGUUCCCAUGAUGGAAAUUUACUCAGCUUUAAGAGACUGCUUGCUGUAGGCAGACAUUUAGCAAACAGCACUUGCAGGCUGGUGAGGACACUGUCAUGCUGAGCAGUCAACAGUGAGUCACAGCUCUCACUUGGCCACAAGAAGACCACGAGGGUAAACGAAAGACAGCACUGGAGCCAUCAGCGCGGGCAAGCUUUCUGAAAGGGCUCACCUCCUCCGGACAAGAUGAGCCGGUUUGCUGCUCUCCGCGGGCAGGUGCUGCUCGGCUCGCCAGCUCCGUGUUAAUUUGAGCCCGCCGAGGGACCUUUGAUCAGCGCGCUCCCUCGCAGCCCGCAGGCUUCCCGAGCUGGCUCCGGCGACUUCAAAAGAGCUGUAAAGCGGACUGCAAUCUCGGCCUUCCUGUUUCUGCGCCUGCCCCCUGGGUGCUUACAACAAC
Molecule: long non-coding RNA, 1705 nt
Filed under: Cricetulus griseus (Chinese hamster)
Lineage: Eukaryota; Metazoa; Chordata; Mammalia; Rodentia; Cricetidae
Description: lncRNA (ENSCGRG00015031551.1)
Source: RNAcentral